RNAcentral lists this long non-coding RNA (1178 nucleotides) under Ananas comosus (pineapple). RNAcentral's name for it is "long non-coding RNA (ACOM_LNC011424)". Lineage: Eukaryota; Viridiplantae; Streptophyta; Magnoliopsida; Poales; Bromeliaceae. The record is from RNAcentral.
UCUGUACAUCUACAUAUAAGUGUAAACCUUAUAUCACCUUCACAUCUAAAAUUACAUUUAUAUCUAAUAACAAUAGUCUAAAUUAUUUCAUAUUUAUUUAUAUAUUUUAUAUUUUAUAUAAAAAUAAAUAGCAAAUUAUGUAAUAAAUUAUUAUAUAAUAAUAUAUUAUUAUCUAUAUAAAAGCAAAGUAUAUAUAUAUAUAUAGAGAGAGAGAGAGAGAGAGAGAGAAUUAUACUGCUAUACUAUAUAUCGAUGUUACCAAGCGCUUGAUACUAUCGAGUUUUCAGCCGUUGGAUGAAAAGAUGUGCGAAUUAGGAUGAUAGUAGUCCCCUAGAGUUGAGUGGUGGUUGGUUGAAUAGUAUAAUCUAACAAGUGAAAAUGAUCAGAGGGUAGAUCUAAUAGCAGAAAACUCGAUAGUACCAAGAGCUUAGUACUAUCGAUAGUAUAGUAGUCGGACUUUCUCUACCAAGCUCUUGGUACUAUCGAGUUAGGAUGAUUGUGAUUUUUUAGGAUUGAGUGAGUGAUUAGUUGAAUAGUAUAAUCUAACGGGUGAAAAUGAUUAAUUAAAUGAUAGAUCCAACGGCCGAAAACUCGAUAGUACCAAGUGCUUGGUACUAUCGAUAGUAUAGUAGCAAGUUAGGUUCCUGUGCUUUUGAAAACACGAAGGCCUUUAUAUUUAUAAAUUCUUUUUGAUGAUAGGACAUCCGAUUUAGUGAUCAGUUCUGUCAAAUAUGAUCUACUAUGUUGGAAUUAUUUAGAAAUCAAAUUUCAUAAUUUUUAAAUUUUCUUUGCUUAUUAAACGAGUAAUAUCAAAAUGAAUGACUAAAUAUAAAAAUUCUAUAAAAAAAUAGUGAUAAAAGACUUAAAUUUUAAAUCUGAAGUAUUAAUCUUGUUCUUGAUAAUAAGUAAAAUUUUAUAUUAAAAUUUAUCUUAUUUGGAUUGUUCUAUACCAUUGAAUUUACAAAUAUGCCACAUCGGCCAUUAAAAUAGUUAUGUUUUAGAUCUUUUGAUCAUUUAGUAAAUGAUGUCUAAAAUUUAUAAAAUUUGAUUUCUAAAUAAUUCUAAUAGUAUAGAUCAUGUCUAACAAGCCGAUUGUCAAAUCAGAUAUCCUAUCAUCGAAAAUAAAUUAUAAGAAUUGAGACCUAUGUACUUUCGAAAGUAUAUGAACAUACACUAUA